This 722-nucleotide ribosomal RNA is filed under the name uncultured Leuconeurospora. RNAcentral's name for it is "eukaryotic LSU rRNA". It matches the Rfam family "Eukaryotic large subunit ribosomal RNA", at positions 50 to 793 of the family's 3401-position model. The record is from RNAcentral. Lineage: Eukaryota; Fungi; Ascomycota; Sordariomycetes; Hypocreales.
GCGCAGGAAAAGAAACCAACAGGGAUUACCUCAGUAACGGCGAGUGAAGCGGUAACAGCUCAAAUUUGAAAUCUGGCCUCACGGUCCGAAUUGUAAUUUGUAGAGGAUGUUUCGAGCAUGGUCUGGCCUAAGUUCCUUGGAACAGGACGUCAUAGAGGGUGAGAAUCCCGUAUGCGGUCAGGUGCCUACGCUCAUGUGAAACUCCUUCGACGAGUCGAGUUGUUUGGGAAUGCAGCUCAAAAUGGGUGGUAAAUUUCAUCUAAAGCUAAAUAUUGGCCAGAGACCGAUAGCGCACAAGUAGAGUGAUCGAAAGAUGAAAAGCACUUUGGAAAGAGAGUUAAACAGUACGUGAAAUUGUUGAAAGGGAAGCGCUUGCAACCAGACUUGCACGCAGCUAAUCAUCCGGUGUUCUCACCGGUGCACUUGGUUGCGUUCAGGCCAGCAUCGGUUUCGGCGGUGGGAUAAAGGCCUUAGGAAUGUAGCUGCUCUCGGGCAGUGUUAUAGCCUAGGGUGCAAUGCCGCCUGCUGGGACCGAGGACCGCGCUUCGGCUAGGAUGCUGGCGUAAUGGUUGUAAGCGGCCCGUCUUGAAACACGGACCAAGGAGUCUAACAUCUAUGCGAGUGUUUGGGUGUCAAACCCAUACGCGUGAUGAAAGUGAACGGAGGUGAGAACCCUUAAGGGUGCAUCAUCGACCGAUCCUGAUGUUCUCGGAUGGAUUUGA